UAGUCAUAUGCUUGUCUCAAAGAUUAAGCCAUGCAUGUCUAAGUAUAAGCAAUUUAUACAGUGAAACUGCGAAUGGCUCAUUAAAUCAGUUAUCGUUUAUUUGAUAGUACCUUACUACUUGGAUAACCGUGGUAAUUCUAGAGCUAAUACAUGCUUAAAAUCCCGACUGUUUGGAAGGGAUGUAUUUAUUAGAUAAAAAAUCAAUGUCUUCGGACUCUUUGAUGAUUCAUAAUAACUUUUCGAAUCGCAUGGCCUUGUGCUGGCGAUGGUUCAUUCAAAUUUCUGCCCUAUCAACUUUCGAUGGUAGGAUAGUGGCCUACCAUGGUUUCAACGGGUAACGGGGAAUAAGGGUUCGAUUCCGGAGAGGGAGCCUGAGAAACGGCUACCACAUCCAAGGAAGGCAGCAGGCGCGCAAAUUACCCAAUCCCGACACGGGGAGGUGGUGACAAUAAAUAACGAUACAGGGCCCUUUCGGGUCUUGUAAUUGGAAUGAGUACAAUGUAAAUACCUUAACGAGGAACAAUU
This 525-nucleotide ribosomal RNA is filed under the name uncultured eukaryote. RNAcentral describes it as "SSU rRNA". It matches the Rfam family "Eukaryotic small subunit ribosomal RNA", at positions 21 to 549 of the family's 1831-position model. The record is from RNAcentral.